CAAAUGGAGAAAAAUAUUCAACAAGUUACCGAACAACACAUUAGUUCACGAAUGCACAUAGCGCAUGAGUUAAUUAUUAGUGUUGUUCCGUCACAAGUUGAAUAUUUUUUGAUAUUUGAAUUCUUUAAUUAGUUAUUCUUAUUAUUACAUUGGCAAAUGGCUUUUUUUUAAAGAAAUUAAUGUAAAACAUGUAAGGAACUAUAUCUUUUUUCUUCUCAUUCACAAUUUGUUUUGAUCUGCCGUUAUGGACGUCUUGACAAUGCCUGUUGUUGUAUGAUGUCACAGAGUGAAAUAACCACGUUUAUUUCACAUGUGAAAUUCUCGGUUUUUAUUGAACUGGGAAAUCAAUGUAAUUCAUUGCAACCAAUGUAAUAAUGUUUAUCCCAACUGAGUAUAUUUCUAGGAUUUUGAUUGGAUAAUGCACAUUGUUACAAAACUCAUACCCCUAGGUGUUGCUAACCUAUAUACCCGGAAGUUGCUGUCAAUUGCCACGGGGGACGUCACACGUGUUUUCCUUAGUUCCAUGGUUGUUCUUUGUGAAAUAUAGAAUUCUGUAGAUUAUUCAUGAUGUAUGUUCAUAAAUAUUUAAUCCACUAACAAUUUUAUCUUAUUUUGUUGAUCAUUUGCACCCAUUUUAGUAAAUGCAACACUUAGCUGCGACAUUGUCUAUAAAUGGGACUGCUGAUCUCGAUAUGCAAAUGACCCACGUUGACAUCACACCGUCUAUGAUGUAACUCUCACAACAUUGA
RNAcentral lists this long non-coding RNA (749 nucleotides) under Mytilus galloprovincialis (Mediterranean mussel). Lineage: Eukaryota; Metazoa; Mollusca; Bivalvia; Mytilida; Mytilidae. The record is from RNAcentral.